This 423-nucleotide ribosomal RNA is filed under the name Dendropsophus cf. mathiassoni ABGD cluster 82. Its description in RNAcentral is "partial large subunit ribosomal RNA". It matches the Rfam family "Bacterial large subunit ribosomal RNA", at positions 1835 to 2457 of the family's 2925-position model. The record is from RNAcentral. Lineage: Eukaryota; Metazoa; Chordata; Amphibia; Anura; Hylidae.
CUUGACAUACAUAAGAGGUCCAGCCUGCCCAGUGACUAAGUUCAACGGCCGCGGUAUCCUAACCGUGCGAAGGUAGCGUAAUCACUUGUUCUUUAAAUGAGGACUAGUAUGAAUGGCACCACGAGGGUUAUACUGUCUCCUUUUUUUAAUCAAUGAAACUGAUCUCCCCGUGAAGAAGCGGGGAUAAAUUUAUAAGACGAGAAGACCCUAUGGAGCUUUAAACAAUUAUAGCACUGGCCCACACCUCUUAUUCUUCUGAGAUAUAAUUAUCAUACAGGCCAACAUGACUAUUAGUUUUAGGUUGGGGUGACCGCGGAGCAAAAAUUAACCUCCACGUUGAACGGAGCUACUCCUGAGCUAAAAACUACAACUUUAAGCACCAAUAAACUGACAUCAAUUGACCCAAUACAUUGAACAACGAAC